GCUAGAUCUUCCGCAUGAUUCACAUAGCUCAGCUUAUUCCAUGCUUGUCUAAGGUUUUUAGGGCUGUACUGUGUAAACCGUUCUGGUUUGAAAUGGGGUAAUGAGUGGACUCCAGGCCACGUAUCUUCAUUUGGUGUUCCAAGUACCAGAAAUAUCCUUUCAAGUUGAUCUUGAAUGUCUUUCAUUCCUGGAAAAGCUGCGACCCCUUGAAUCAUUUCUACAAAGAUACAUCCCACUCCCCACAUAUCAAGGCAGGUAGAAUAUUCUGUUGAUCCCAAAAGGACAUCUGGAGGUCUGUACCAUAGGGUUACCACUUCAUUAGAAUACGUAUGGCUGGGAACUGAUUUAGCUCUUGCAAGACCAAAGUCUGCCAGCUUUAACUCCCCCGUGUCACUGAUCAGAAGAUUCUGUGGUUU
This 416-nucleotide long non-coding RNA is filed under the name Gallus gallus (chicken). The record is from RNAcentral. Lineage: Eukaryota; Metazoa; Chordata; Aves; Galliformes; Phasianidae.